GUGCCUCCUUCGGCAGCAUAUACACUGAAAUUGGAAUGAUACACAGAGGACUAGCAUGGCCCCUGCACAGGAAUGACAUGCAAAUUCGUGAAGUGUUGUUCCAUAUU
This is a small nuclear RNA of Jaculus jaculus (lesser Egyptian jerboa), 107 nucleotides long. The record is from Ensembl. NCBI's taxonomy places the organism in Eukaryota, Metazoa, Chordata, Mammalia, Rodentia, Dipodidae.